This is a non-coding RNA of Marmota flaviventris (yellow-bellied marmot), 233 nucleotides long. Lineage: Eukaryota; Metazoa; Chordata; Mammalia; Rodentia; Sciuridae. The record is from RefSeq and is a predicted model, not a curated record.
GCCUGCACUACCACACCCAGCCACUCCUGCCCUUUUUAAGGUACAGUUUCCAUAGAAGGCAAUGCAUGGCUGAUCCUGGUCCCAAGCAUCUGCCAGUCACCACUCUGAGCUGGUCAUUGCCUGUGUUAGCUACUCUAUAAAUGGUAAAAACAACGUGUAAAAUCUCCAUAGAAGAACUCUUCAGUGUGAAUAUAUUUCAGCCAUUAUUGCCAGAAUUCCUAUCUUCAUCCCAG